Molecule: non-coding RNA, 336 nt
Organism: Puma concolor (puma)
Lineage: Eukaryota; Metazoa; Chordata; Mammalia; Carnivora; Felidae
Source: the annotation of a RefSeq genome assembly
AUGAGGCAGGUGACAAGAGUGACUGUGCUCUUGCUCUUGGGUACUUUGAGCCUCGCUAAGACCACCCAGCCCGUAUUCAUCGAGUCCUACGAAGGACAAGAAGUGAACAUACCCUGUAACCACACCAAGAUCGCUACAAAUGAGUAUAUCCACUGGUACCGACAGUUCCCCAACCAGGGACCACAAUUUGUUAUUCAAGGAUAUAAGACAAACGUGGAAAAUGAAGUGGCAUCCCUGUUCAUCUCUGCGGACAGGACGUCCAGCACCCUGAGCCUGCCCCGGGCUGCCCUGAGAGACACUGCUGUGUAUUACUGCACCAUGAGUGACUCACAGUGA